GGACCAUGUGUAGACAACACAUAAAAAUAUGAAAUAAUUAAUACUAAAUGGGGAAUAUCUAAGCUCUAUUUACAAAAAAAAACAUUGUUGGAAUAUUAAGUAGUUAAAUAACAAACUUACGGUGUGUGAAGACUCAAGUCGGCAGGGAGACGAGGAAAAAUAAUUCUUUUCAGAUCAUCUGAUCGACGCGCCACCAUACGGCAUAGGACGACCAUGUCCUUGACCAUUCCUCUCAACCAUAGCCUUCUCUAUUAAGAAAGCCGAAAGGUUGGAGCUUUUUUUUGAAGCAAAUUUUGCUUCCCUACCUCCAAUUUUGCCCAUCCUUCAAGUGUACCCACGGGAGCCGUUUUAUCGCCUAGUGGCGAUUUUAAAAAGUUAACUUUUCGAUCGAUAUGAAUUCAUUCCUUCUGAAAUGAAUGAGGCAUCCCUCAAUUACACAUGUUAUGCCCAUUCUCGCCGAGCCGGAGACAAAAAAACUUUAUUGUACGGCUUCACGCGUUGAAUGGCUGCGAAUGAACAUAUGCAAUAAACAGGAAUGCAUGCCGUUCCGUGUAACAUCGUCAUUAAAAUCCCUCACGGCAAAAUAUAAAUGGGGCGUUCAUAAAUUACCGCUCAUAAAUCCGGGUGAUUCUCCCCCUCCCCCCUACAUCAUUUUUAUCACCAGAUGGCUCCCGUGGGUACCCUUGGAGGAAGGGAAUGGGAGGAAAGGUGAGCAAAAUGUGCUUCACUUUUCCAACAUGCAAGGGAUAGCGUUCCUUUCGGCUUUCUCUAAUAGAGAAGGCUAUGUCUCAACGCUAUCCCAGUUCGUAGUCUUUACCCUCUUAGUCUGUGGUAGUACCAAGAUCAAUUUUCUUCAUCCCUAGUAAGGUCCAGAUUGUGGACUGCUAGAUCUAUUAUGGAAACAGAAGUGGGGCAAGAAAGAAAUGUUCUGUCAACAAGGUUAUAAUCUACCCACCACGUGUUACACACCACAUUGUUUCCUGUUGUAUCUUGUUCAGUUCGUUAGAUCUAGACGAUUGGGAUGUGACGCUAUUGAUCAUUUAAAAAUUUGUUUCUGCUGAAAUUACAUUUUAAAGAUGAUUGUGGGAAUUGGGUUUCCACUUCACAAUGGCUGCCGGCAAAUAUUUAUUCAGAUGAGUAAUUACGAAGUGUUCCCAUUUAUGCUAUAAAUUUUACCAUUUUUGUUUAGGUAUCUGCAUCUUUGGUUCAACAAAAGUUCAUUUAGAAAGCUUUACAGUAGAGAAAUUCAAACUGUAAGUCAAACAAAGCCAGUAAUGGACUUGUAUUAAUAGAAUAACAAAUGUGCUGUGUUAACGUACGUUCUGUGUACUGUACGUAGCCGUAAUGACGGGUAAUGAUUCACCAAAUCGGUAAAGCCGAAAAUGUUAGUUGACCACCUUAAUGUGGCAGCAAAUGCAUGUAAAUAGCCAAGUAUUUUUUUCCUCCUGCUUGAAGAUCCAUUCAAGCUCAAAACUUCUAGAUAAAAGCCAAUUACUGACACAUGUUGUAAAGGUUAAAGGCUUAAAGCGACUGUGUUUGAUGGAAUUGUAAAAAAUGGACUGAUCAUACAUCCUUGGGAGAGAGAUAACCAAAUUGAUUAUCUCUGCCUUUGGAUUAGAAAACAACUUAUCUGCUGUGAUACUUCUUGAAAUUAGGGGUUAUUGAAGGCCUAAUGCAUAUAGGUAUGUAUACUUUUUCUCUCAUUUCAUUUGCUUAAUGAAUGACCUCAGUUAGGGGUUACCGCUUGAUUCGGCAUGUCAAAUUGGCUUACCUCCACCUCCACGCCUUGAUUUACAUCCGUUGGGAAGUCUGCUCUAACAGAACGAUGUAAGCAGUGGCAUCUGGCAUGUGAUAAUUAAUAGUGAAUCUGACGAAAUGGGCUUUUUCUCCACAAAAGACUCUGAAGACAGUUGCACAACAAGCGUAGGAUUUUGUUGCACACCAUGUGGCCGUAGAAUGGCGAGGCACAAGAACCGGCCAGCAGACCAUUGAUACUUUUUAGUUUCUCGUAAAUUGGCAAUAAGAUUGCCCCAACAGCAUUUCCACUAUUCACCUACUGCAGCCAGCCCAGGAUCAUAAAGGAUGUUUAAUGUCUUUUACAGAUUGUGCAGAGGCUGCCCAGAGUUAUGGACCCCUGGGUCUAUGACUCUGGUUAGAUUUGAAAUUUUUGAUUUCAUGGCGCCAUGAAAUCGUGCGCCACUAUCGAUACUCAUUAUCUUGGCGUACUACGUAGUUAGUAAAUCAACCUGUACUUUCGGAGCUGUUAACGAUCUCUUUAACAAUUCUUUAUACCGGCUUCUCUUUGCAACUAGGAAAAUUUUGUUUACAAUUUAAAGGAGAGUGUAGCUCAUUCUUUAGAUUAAAAAGAAAAAAUUAAUUUCUGAUUUUUCUUCCGGUUUUAAAAUGCCAAAUGACUCUUUAUUUCUUAGUCUCUCCGAAAAAAGAUUCUCAUUUUCGUGAUCCUCGUCAAAUAUGUGGUUGACUCCAUGGAUCAACUCAAAAUACCCGAAAAUCGUCAAAAAUCGCAAAUUUUCCUGAACGUUCAUGAAAAAUCACGAUUUUGGUCAAAUCCGGCUUUUGGCCAUAAACUUGUCAUUCUUACCCCAAAUCUAAUAAGGAUCAUGAAAAUCUGACUCGUUUGGUUAUGAGGUCACUAUUUCCGGAGAUAUUGGCCACUUUCGGUUACUUCCGGAAAUUUGUAGUGACAAAUUAAAAAAAGUAAAAAAUAAGCUGUAUCAUUCUAACAAUCACAAAUAUUUUUCUUGCAUGUGUUAGGGUGUUGCAGCUAUUAUUCCAUAUUUUUCUUGCUAUCAACAGUACUGGAUGACCCUAAGAGCAACGGCAGUUUUAGCUACAGAUUUUUAGUGUCUCGUCUUGGAACUAGUAGUUGAUAUUCUAGUUUUUAUGUUUAAAAUUUGAAUUAAACAAUUUGAGAUUAGUAAAGUCCAAGCAUUUAAAAGCAAGAAUUGCACUGAUUUUAAAGGUAAAUCUAUUUUCUUUGGGUUGAACUAGAUGGCGUUAUUGUGCGUAUAUGAUAAAAAAUGCGAAUGACAAGUUAAAUGGGUGUUCAAAGUAAAAACUAAAACUGUUCGUGAUUUGGUACAAAGUCCUUAUUGAAUACGUAUUAAAACCAAUUUAAACACGAGCAGUUAGACUUUCAUUGCAGACUAAUGGGUCUCAGAUCAAUCCACCAGGUGCUGCUGAAACCUGUUGUUUUGAGAGCUGUCACAGAGUCGUUUUAUGUUAAGGUAAGGUAAGGUAAGUUACAAAAUUCAACCCUAUUAAUUAGUGAUUAACGGAACUCCAUUCAACCAACUGUUUUAUUGACAAACACUUUUCUCAGGUUUACUAGUUUUUUCCAUAACUUAAUGGUGAUGUUUCACUGCAAUCUAGUGGCAAUUACUUUCCCCUCAAAAAGCAAAAUAAGCCUGACUUUUUAAGCCCGACUUUAACUAGGGGCCCUCACACCGUUCGGGAAGUUCCCGAUAGGGUUGGGCUGUAGUUGUUCUUGAAUAGCGACAACCCUAUAUGCUCUGAUUACACUCAACGGCUCCCGCUGUUCGCGAAGUUUUCGAUAGCGUUGGAGAAAAAAGAAUCACAUUGUAUAAUAAAAACUGACUGCUAAUUUCGAUUAAGUAAAUGGUUUCCUUGUUAAAUUAGCCGAUUUUAAAAUAAACGAAAAUAAAGUUA
This 3690-nucleotide long non-coding RNA is filed under the name Daphnia magna. RNAcentral's name for it is "uncharacterized LOC116920745, transcript variant X13". The record is from RNAcentral. Lineage: Eukaryota; Metazoa; Arthropoda; Branchiopoda; Diplostraca; Daphniidae.